Molecule: transfer RNA, 83 nt
Filed under: Candidatus Riflebacteria bacterium RBG_13_59_9
Lineage: Bacteria; Candidatus Rifleibacteriota
Description: tRNA-Leu
Rfam family: tRNA
About the family: Transfer RNA (tRNA) molecules are approximately 80 nucleotides in length. Their secondary structure includes four short double-helical elements and three loops (D, anti-codon, and T loops). Further hydrogen bonds mediate the characteristic L-shaped molecular structure. tRNAs have two regions of fundamental functional importance: the anti-codon, which is responsible for specific mRNA codon recognition, and the 3' end, to which the tRNAs corresponding amino acid is attached (by aminoacyl-tRNA synthetases). tRNAs cope with the degeneracy of the genetic code in two manners: having more than one tRNA (with a specific anti-codon) for a particular amino acid; and 'wobble' base-pairing, i.e. permitting non-standard base-pairing at the 3rd anti-codon position.
Source: RNAcentral
GCCGAAGUGGCGGAAUGGCAGACGCAGCAGACUCAAAAUCUGCCGGGGGCAACCCCGUGGGGGUUCGACUCCCCCCUUCGGCA